AUUGAACGCUGGCGGCAUGCCUUACACAUGCAAGUCGAACGGCAGCACGGGUGCUUGCACCUGGUGGCGAGUGGCGAACGGGUGAGUAAUACAUCGGAACGUACCUUAUCGUGGGGGAUAACGCAGCGAAAGUUGCGCUAAUACCGCAUACGCCCUGAGGGGGAAAGCGGGGGACCGUAAGGCCUCGCGCGAUUAGAGCGGCCGAUGUCUAAUUAGCUUGUUGGUGAGGUAAAAGCUCACCAAGGCGAUGAUCAGUAGCUGGUCUGAGAGGACGAUCAGCCACACUGGGACUGAGACACGGCCCAGACUCCUACGGGAGGCAGCAGUGGGGAAUUUUGGACAAUGGGGGCAACCCUGAUCCAGCAAUGCCGCGUGAGUGAAGAAGGCCCUCGGGUUGUAAAGCUCUUUUGUCAGGGAAGAAACAGCAGCUCUAACACAGUCUGCGAAUGACGGUACCUGAAGAAUAAGCACCGGCUAACUACGUGCCAGCAGCCGCGGUAA
This 501-nucleotide ribosomal RNA is filed under the name uncultured bacterium. RNAcentral's name for it is "partial 16S ribosomal RNA". It matches the Rfam family "Bacterial small subunit ribosomal RNA", at positions 30 to 523 of the family's 1533-position model. The record is from RNAcentral.